UGCAAGUCGAACGCGUUGGCCCAAUUGAUUGAUGGUGCUUGCACCUGAUUGAUUUUGGUCGCCAACGAGUGGCGGACGGGUGAGUAACACGUAGGUAACCUGCCCAGAAGCGGGGGACAACAUUUGGAAACAGAUGCUAAUACCGCAUAACAGCGUUGUUCGCAUGAACAACGCUUAAAAGAUGGCUUCUCGCUAUCACUUCUGGAUGGACCUGCGGUGCAUUAGCUUGUUGGUGGGGUAAUGGCCUACCAAGGCGAUGAUGCAUAGCCGAGUUGAGAGACUGAUCGGCCACAAUGGGACUGAGACACGGCCCAUACUCCUACGGGAGGCAGCAGUAGGGAAUCUUCCACAAUGGGCGCAAGCCUGAUGGAGCAACACCGCGUGAGUGAAGAAGGGUUUCGGCUCGUAAAGCUCUGUUGUUAAAGAAGAACACGUAUGAGAGUAACUGUUCAUACGUUGACGGUAUUUAACCAGAAAGUCACGGCUAACUACGUGCCAGCAGCCGCGGUAAUACGUAGGUGGCAAGCGUUAUCCGGAUUUAUUGGGCGUAAAGAGAGUGCAGGCGGUUUUCUAAGUCUGAUGUGAAAGCCUUCGGCUUAACCGGAGAAGUGCAUCGGAAACUGGAUAACUUGAGUGCAGAAGAGGGUAGUGGAACUCCAUGUGUAGCGGUGGAAUGCGUAGAUAUAUGGAAGAACACCAGUGGCGAAGGCGGCUACCUGGUCUGCAACUGACGCUGAGACU
RNAcentral lists this ribosomal RNA (741 nucleotides) under Limosilactobacillus fermentum. RNAcentral's name for it is "bacterial SSU rRNA". It matches the Rfam family "Bacterial small subunit ribosomal RNA", at positions 56 to 753 of the family's 1533-position model. Lineage: Bacteria; Bacillati; Bacillota; Bacilli; Lactobacillales; Lactobacillaceae. The record is from RNAcentral.